This is a long non-coding RNA of Clupea harengus (Atlantic herring), 1372 nucleotides long. The record is from Ensembl. Lineage: Eukaryota; Metazoa; Chordata; Actinopteri; Clupeiformes; Clupeidae.
AUCUCUCUCACCCAGCUCCUGAUAGGUCUACUGUGUUCCCCUCAUUCUUCAUUUCCACAGCUCUCUCCUCAUUUCACCCCUUUUUGUCACCUUCCAUUCACAGGCCUCUGUGCCCUUGAAAUUAAGUAAUCAAGCUAAAGGGUUGAGCGCUUGUGUCAUUAUUCUUAGACUACCGAAAAGCAUCCCCCGGAAGAUGAAAUGUAACCUACAGCAAAGCUACAGGCUAACAUUAUUUUAGCUCAUCGUUUCAAAGAGGUAAACACACUGUGUUAGGACACAGCGGCUGUUUUUUUCUUUUUUUUUUGUGUGAUAAUAUUUUGUGCAUCAGUAGACCACAGACGCUUUAGAGGCCGUAAAAUAUGUAUGCGGCUGAAAUUAUAAAUGACAGGAAUCCGGAUGAGAGAGGCAAUAGGCACACAUUCUUUUUUGGAGCUAGGAGUAAUUGUUCUGUGAAGAACCCAGAUGGCUGCUCCGCUGUCUGUCAACCGCAUUCCUGUGUUUCUGUCUUUCCCCCUUAAAUGUUCUCUCUCACCUCACAUACCUCACACCAACACACGAUUCCCGUUGUUUCAUCCUCUUUAACAGUCACAUCACCUUAGUAUUUCAGAAUCCAAAACAUCAAUCAAUUCAAUUCAACAAGCUAAUGACAUUACGCCACAUUACAAUACGAGACAGGAGUUUGGAUGACAAGAGUUCAUGCAGUGAAUGAGAUGCAAUGUUGCAUAUUUAACGUCUCCAAUAACAAAUGCGCAGACUGCAGAGGAUGCACCAGCACUGAAAGUUGACAGGCAUCCAGAUUAGAGAGAAGGCAACAGGCUCCCCACAUGGUUUCCUGCACCAGGAGGCCUGGUUCCUCUGUGGGGAACCCAGGUGGCUAGGCUGGCUGGGCUGCUGACUUUCUCAGGCUCUCUGCUGGAGAGAAGCAGAAAGCCCUGACACACUGAGACCACCAGAUGAUAACACUUAUGUAAGUCACAGCGAUGUUAUUAUUAUUAUUAUUUUUUUUUUUUACAUUUCUACUGAUUAGUCUUAGGGAGGUUGAUUAGAGUAAACAAGUAAAGGAUUAUGGAAGACAUCGGCGUGCUCCAUUGUGGUAUGUUGUGUUUUAGUCAAUCCUCUUAAAUGCAUUUCAAAUUGAUCUUUUUCAGUGAAUGAGGGGGUAAGUUUAAGAAUACAUCUGGUUCGGCUUUUUAUACAUAGCAGCGUAUGCUGUGUUGUGAACCACACUAAAGAAUAAUUGCUUAUUCAGGUCAGACAUUUGUUUGAAUUUUUCAUUUCCCUGUAAUUCUGGUAGGUUGUCGUAUCCAUACACGAUAGCAGUUUGUUCUGUGAUAUUAUAUUGUAUCCUUUACUUUACCCAUGCCUCAAAAAC